Molecule: unclassified non-coding RNA, 71 nt
Filed under: Desulfosporosinus lacus DSM 15449
Lineage: Bacteria; Bacillati; Bacillota; Clostridia; Eubacteriales; Desulfitobacteriaceae
Source: RNAcentral
AACCGCCGUGUACCGAACGGUAUGCACGGUGGUGUGAGAGGACGGGGGUUAGUCACCCCCUCCUACUCGAU